Molecule: long non-coding RNA, 738 nt
Organism: Episyrphus balteatus (marmalade hoverfly)
Lineage: Eukaryota; Metazoa; Arthropoda; Insecta; Diptera; Syrphidae
Exons: 3
Source: RefSeq, a predicted model, not a curated record
GACUUGAGAAAAUAAAGUAUAUCCAUACUCUUCACUCUCCCUUUAGAGUGAGAUAAAUCGUGUUUGUGGUUAAGUGUCAAAAUUAAUUGUGUAAAUAUAUAAAAGAAAACUCAACGUGGUGGAAGAUGGGCAACAGGUCUUUGUUUUAGUUUCUGAGGAACAUCAAAGAAAAGGUGCAGGAUAUAUUCUCGGAAUGCAACUAUGCUUGUAAUUAUUGUAUCUAUGAAUAUAAUAUGCAUUCAGAAACAGGGGAAACUGGAUGGAUGGAUCGAGGAUCACAUAAUGUUGCUGGAUAGGUUGAGGGGGUGUGUAUGAUCACCUCCUCCCUACACUUAUGUAUGAUGAUAGUAGAUUAGUUAUGGCAUGAGUAGUUAGUUUAUAUUUAAGUUAUUAUUAUUAAGUUUUAUUUUAAUUAUGAUGGUAGUUAGAUAUGUGCAUGUUAGUUUUUAAGUAUGAAUUUUAAUGAUAAAAAUGCCGCCAUUGCCACGUUACAAAGUAAGGAUACAUUAAAGCGAUACCGUAUUGGAUUAACCCUGAAUUGAUCAACUUUUUUCAUUGAUAACACCUGAAAACUUACCUGACAAUUUUUGUUACUAUGUCUGGGGUGCUCGCCGCCCAUGGAUUCUAGCUGUUCUCUCUCUCUCAAUACCUACACCACACACACUCACACAAUACGCACAUGGUCAUUCUUCACAAAUAGAAAAAAAAAAUGUGUUUAUUAUGGCUUUUUUUUGUGUU